GACAGCUCAGUCGGUAGAGCAUGAGUGUCUUAAUCUCAGGGUUGUGGGUUCAAGUUCCAUGGUGGUCA
Molecule: non-coding RNA, 68 nt
Organism: Podarcis lilfordi (Lilford's wall lizard)
Lineage: Eukaryota; Metazoa; Chordata; Lepidosauria; Squamata; Lacertidae
Source: the annotation of a GenBank genome assembly